RNAcentral lists this transfer RNA (90 nucleotides) under candidate division WWE3 bacterium. RNAcentral's name for it is "tRNA-Ser". It matches the Rfam family "tRNA". From Rfam's summary of the family: Transfer RNA (tRNA) molecules are approximately 80 nucleotides in length. Their secondary structure includes four short double-helical elements and three loops (D, anti-codon, and T loops). Lineage: Bacteria; candidate division WWE3. The record is from RNAcentral.
GGAGGGAUCGCAUAGUGGACUAGUGCGCAGUCCUGGAAAGACUGUUUAGGGGUGACCCUAUCGCGGGUUCGAAUCCCGCUCCCUCCGCCA